Amphiprion ocellaris (clown anemonefish) is the source of this 4164-nucleotide long non-coding RNA. Lineage: Eukaryota; Metazoa; Chordata; Actinopteri; Pomacentridae. The record is from Ensembl.
CAUCAUCAAUCCUGAGUUGUAAUUUCUGUUUCAUGAGGACUUUUUUUGCUUCUGUCUUCACAGAUUCUAUGGACAUUUGGACUAUAUAGAUGUCAGCAUUUCAUUUAAAGCAGCAUCUGCAGUGAUUCACAAGCGGUGGAGAAGGAAGCAGCAGCUGAAGUGCGUUAGGGUUUCCUGCAGGAGAGAGGAGGGAUGGUGGCAUUGUCAUCACAGCAGGCAUUGUUGUUUGGCAGGUCCACCACCAAUGCAGUGACAGCUGUGGAUUACCUGAAACAGAACAGAGACCAAAGAACUACAGACUCUUCACAACCUGCUCAAACUCUUGGUACAGGACCUCACCACACGGGUCAAGAAGGUUGCUUUGUAGAACUGUUCCAGAAAACCUCACUAAACCACAUGGAGGGGCCUCAAGAUAGUCGUCCAAAUGAAACCAUACAAAAACCAAACAAGCACAACCCAAACACUAAAGUCUCCUGCAGCCUACCAGAGAACCUCUGAGAACAGAGAAUCAGGACAGGAACUCUUACCUUCUGGACAACCAACGCUGGUUCUCAAACAAGAAUACAGAAUGUGUCUGACCAAAAACCUCUGAAGACUCACUACAGCCAAGAUAAAGACACAACUCAGCUGCACCAAAUCCACUAAUCACUGCACACAUUAGCACCAUGUGCUAACUGUGGCUAAAGAACCACAUUUACCAAGACAACGAUCCAGUACAAAGCCCUAAAACACACCAAGAAACACAUUAAAGAUGAUUUUACUGCUGGAAGCUGCAAGCCAACGCCUAAAGAACAAACUAAAGCAAUGGAGCCAAACCCGGUUCAGUUGGUGAACAGAAGCAGAGGAAAUGUUUGUCUGCAGCUAAACAAAGCAGGAAGACAGUGAGCUGCUCAGGUGUUCCUGAUAACACCAAGCAGCCACCUGGAAAGCCAAUAGGAAGACAGCUUACUGGAAGUCCAGAGGGCUGGCUUAGUGAAGGAAAUUUAAAGUUGAAGCAGAAAGUUAACAAAGAAAGUUGAAAACCACCUUCUGAUCCCUGAAAUAUCUGAGUUUUCACACAAAGAACGCCUGAACAUGUCAUGUUAUUUUAGAAAACGAAUCAACUUAGAGGCAUUUGUUCACACGUGGCUGAAUAGGAGGCCGUCCAAUCAGAUUGGAGGUCUUCACUCUGUAGGUUGUUUGUUGGGUGAGACUCUUGGACCUCCAUCAGCUGACGUGGAUGUUUGAUGGUCUUCCUCUCUCGUGCCAGAUGAUUCAUCCAUGAAUUCAGCAGCUACAGACUGAAAUGAAGCUCAUGCUGCCGUUAUUGAAUUCCUGUUCCAGAUCAAAUGUUCAGAGCUCACCUUGAAUGCAGCCGUCUGCUAUCUGAUAGUUUUUCUCAUUGUAGUCUUCAAUAAAGUCUUUUUCCUCAUGUCAGGAUGUGGUGAGACUCUUUCUCAGUCUCUGCAGACGUCCCUCAUUGUGCAUCUCCAGAGAAGAAACAGAAAAACUGAUCACUGCUUCAGCAUCAAACGCUCUCCAGCACUGAGAGUGUUUUAGGAAUUCAUUCAUUGUGUUGUGAACUUUGAAGGAGCAGAAACUUUACAGCUGCCAAAGAUAUGAGCUCCAAUUCUGAUGUUUUAGGAAAUGAAGUUCAUCAAAUGAACACUUGAUUUUUGCUGAUAACUCUCAUUAAAUUACUGAAGAAAUCCAACAUAAAAACUUGUAAACUAUCAGGCAGCUUUUGUUAAAGUUUGUCUAUAAUUCUAUCAUCAUGUUCUGGAACCAGGACUCUGCAGAAGUUCCUUCAAUCAGAUACUUGUGUGUUUCUCUAUUUAAGGCCUCAGGUUUGAACGUACAGCAGAGGAUUAGAAAGGAGUGAUUUUAAUAUUUAAAUCAGUCCAGUAAAUGUUUGGAGUAAAAAUGAUAAAAUUUUUGAUUUAGAUAGAUUUGUGUCAAAUAAUAAUGUAGAGUCUCACUUAAAUGUCAGCUAAGGUAAAACUAUCCUUUUAACGUACGCUUUGAACAGAUUAAAUGCACGAACCAAAAGGAAAUACAUAUGACAAUGUGCAUUUCAGUUUCUUGCUUUAAUUUGUUUUUAUCUAGGCAUUUCAAAUCCUCUACAGUUGUGCCAGUUUUGGUUUGCUUCUCAAAAGCAUGUUAAUCCUCAGGUGACGCGUCUUUGUCCCACUGCAGGUCGCUGGUCGAAGCAGUUCGUAGAGUCGGGAUGCUUGGAGGAAAAUGAGCUUCGCCGGCUUUCACAUGGAGAUGUUGCUGUAGAUGCUGCUGUAGAGCUGAUCGAUCUUCGCCUUGAAGAAUUCCUGUUUUUGCGCCAAAAUUCAUGAUGAUUUUUUUUCCAAAGAAAACCUUUCUGGAGUGUUUUUCACAGCCUCCUUUACAUUAUUUCAUCAUAUGGCACGUUUUUACAACAUGUUGAAAAAUCGUAUUUUUUUCCGACAUAGUAUAUUAUGUCGACAAAAAAAUGUGUUCUAAUGCUACAUUGUGUUAGCUAAUUCUGUUGAGAGGCUAAUUGAUGAUUAGAAAACCAUUGUGCAAUUAUGUUAGCACAUGCAUAAAAGUAUGAGUUUUCAGUUAGCUAACACAAUGUAGCAUUAGAACACAGGAGUGAUGGUUGCUGGAAAUGUUCCUCUGUACCUCUAUGGAGAUAUUCCAUUAAAAAUCAGCUGUUUUCAGCUAGAAUAGUCAUUUACCACAUUAACAAUGUCUAGACUGUAUUUAUCAUUCAUUUCAUGUUAUCUUAACUGAAAAAAAUGCUUUUCUUUCAAAAAAAUCAGGACAAUUCUAAGUGACCCCAAACUUUUGAACAGUAGUCUAUAUGUAAUGGGUGAAAAGGUGUCAAACGACUGAUUACCUACCUUUAAGUGAGAAGCUCCGUUUGGGGAAGUAAAUUAAAUGUACUCAUUCAGUCCCUGAGGCAAACUUUAACUGUAGUUUCACAUCUGCAGAAAAACGGACUCAUUCUGACUUCAGAUCAGGAAACAGACUCAAACAGCACGUAGUCGGUCAGAGGCUGAAAAUUAACUUCCAGUCAGAGACAUCUGGAAAAAAAGACGAGGCUCAACAUAAUUAUUCUGCUUUAUGUAGUUGGAUUUAAACAACACAUUUAAGAAACCAAGUUUUAUUAUUCCAAAGGGGCACUUUAUACAAUAUCAAGGUAGGAAUUAAAUAUGGAAUCAAAUUGAUGAAACAAAGCAGGCAGUGUACGAGACCAUUGCAGCUUGCAUAAGAACACUUCAGCCUCGUCUCCGUUGGCAGCAGAGCUCAGCUGAGGUUCGUCUGACCUCCAGAACGACCACUACGAUGCUGAAGUCUGGCCAGUGGAGACGAGGCGUUUGACAAAACCCACAUGAAAUCCUGAGGAGAGUCAGAUUUCAUGUGCAAAUAUAUUAUCACAACUCGCAGCUCGAAAAAUAGAACAAUCUUUCUUAUUACAAUGAUAAGGGACAUUAUAAAGAAAUCUUUCUCCAAAAUAGAACCCAGUAGAUGCUGACAUGUGGUAACGCUAUAUACAUCUUCCUUCUGCUUCAAAUAAAAUACAUCUUCGCCAAAGCAACGUUAAAUAUAUUAUUGUUUGAAGUAUUUUACAGGCAGGAAAGUACCUUUUUAUGUUCCCAGAUAAACUGAGCGAUAGGUAGAGUGCAUCAGAGAGAGGAAAGUGAACUCAAACAGAAGCGAUUAAGAGUUUUUAGAGCCGAUUGUUUAGUUUGAGUGAUGGAUUUGUUGAUCUACCUCCCUCUUACAGCUGCUGUGGAGUAAAUAUGCAAAGAUUAACUUGAUACAAAUGAAAGUUUUGGCAUGGCUUUGAUAAAACUCUUUAAAAAAUGUUAGGAAUAAUUAUAUUCUGUUUACAAUCAGUUACACACAUGGGUGACAAAUGAACGCUCGCUGACAUGACUGGUCUAUUAUUUUCUGUAUCUAUAGAUCUAUCAUCGCAAUUAAAGGAAAGUUCGUAGCAAAUAAUUUAAGUCAACAAAACACGUCUUAAAACACACAUGCAGAAAAGGCAUUUUGUUGUGGAAAUAUUGCUUCUAUUAUCCUAAGAUGUAAACAUUAGAGCAUCAUGUGACUGUAUUUAAAUAAUACAGUCCAUCAGUGCAAACAUUCUCCAGACCAAAAGUAACAAAAGAUUAAAUGUUAUUUCUCAGUUGUAAUACAAGUACCACA